This 393-nucleotide ribosomal RNA is filed under the name uncultured bacterium. RNAcentral's name for it is "partial 16S ribosomal RNA". It matches the Rfam family "Bacterial small subunit ribosomal RNA", at positions 523 to 918 of the family's 1533-position model. The record is from RNAcentral.
AUACGGAGGAUCCGAGCGUUAUCCGGAUUUAUUGGGUUUAAAGGGUGCGCAGGCGGGAGAUUAAGUCGGCGGUGAAAUUUUGCAGCUCAACUGUAAAAGUGCCUUCGAAACUGGUUUCCUUGAGUGUAGAUGAAGUAGGCGGAAUUUGUGGUGUAGCGGUGAAAUGCAUAGAUAUCACGAGGAACUCCGAUUGCGCAGGCAGCUUACUAAACUACUACUGACGCUCAGGCACGAAGGCGUGGGGAUCAAACAGGAUUAGAUACCCUGGUAGUCCACGCAGUAAACGAUGAUUACUAGCUGUUUGCGAUACAAUGUAAGCGGCUGAGCGAAAGCGUUAAGUAAUCCACCUGGGGUGUACGUUCGCAAGAAUGAAACUCAAAUGAAUUGACGGGG